Molecule: non-coding RNA, 146 nt
Organism: Homo sapiens (human)
Lineage: Eukaryota; Metazoa; Chordata; Mammalia; Primates; Hominidae
Source: Rfam
GCUGGGUGCAGUGGCGGGUGCCUGUAAUCCCAGGUACAUGGAGGCUGAGGCAGGAGAAUUGCUUGAGCCCGGGAAGCAGAGGAUGCAGUGAGCUGAGAUCGUGCCACUUACUCCACCCUGGGCAACAGAGUGAGACUCUGUCUCAA